Molecule: non-coding RNA, 1821 nt
Organism: Sturnus vulgaris (Common starling)
Lineage: Eukaryota; Metazoa; Chordata; Aves; Passeriformes; Sturnidae
Source: RefSeq, a predicted model, not a curated record
GUGCCCCGAUCGCCGCCGCACGUAGGGACGGACAGGGCUCCGGGCACAGACCUCCCCAAAGCCCAUCGAUGUCUCCGCGCCUGCUCAGGGUGCUGGGUUGGGGCUCGGCGGCCGUGCUGGGCCUGCUGACGGUGGCCGUCUUCGUCCUGGUCCUGAUCCCGGCAAAGGAUGCUGUCCUUCCUACCACGAUCAAAUACGGUCUGGUGUUUGAUGCUGGCUCCACACACACGUCCCUCUACAUCUACCGGUGGCCUGCACACAAGGAGAACGGCACUGGCAUCGUCUCCCAGGUGGAGGCCUGCUCUGUGUCCGGACCCGGCAUCUCCAGCUACGCAGACGACCCCGCGGGGGCUGGCGCCAGCCUGAAGCCUUGCCUGGACAAGGCCAUGAAGAUCAUCCCGGCCGAGCAGCAGCGGGAGACCCCCACGUACCUGGGGGCCACGGCCGGCAUGCGGCUGCUGAGGGAGGAGAACAGCACCAAGGCCGAGCAGGUCUUUGCCGAGGUGUCCAAGGCCAUUGGGGAGUACCCUGUGGAUUUCCGCGGAGCUCGGAUCCUGACGGGGAGUGAGGAGGGCUCCUUUGGAUGGAUCACUGUCAACUACCUGCUGCAGACACUGGUCAAGUUCUCGUUUGCAGAGAAAUGGGAACAUCCCCAGGACACCGAGGUUCUGGGAGCUCUGGACCUUGGCGGUGCCUCGACGCAGAUCACCUUCCAGCCCGGGGUGCCUGUGGAGGACAGGAACACGUCCGUGUUCUUCCGGCUGUACGGCACCAACUACUCCCUGUACAGCCACAGCUACCUGUGCUACGGGCAGAGCCAGGCCCUGAAGAGGCUGCUGGCAGCUCUGCACCAGGCCAGCUCGAGUGAUCAGAUCUCCCACCCCUGCUACCCCCGGGGGUACCAGGAGAACCUCACCGUGGCAGAGCUCUACGACAGCCCCUGUGUGCGUGCGCCAAGCUCAGCCAGCCCUGGCCUUGUCCUCAGUGUGACGGGGACAGGGGACCCAGCCGCGUGUGGCACGGCCGUGCAGAGACUCUUCAACUUCAGCUGUGGGGCGCAGUGGCCGUGCGGGUUCAAUGGGGUGUACCAGCCCCCCGUGCGGGGACAGUUCUUGGCCUUCUCGGGGUUUUAUCACAGCCUUCAUUUUCUGAACCUGACAGGAGGACAGUCCCUGAGCUUGGUCAAUGCCACCAUCUGGCAGAUCUGCAACAGCAGCUGGGAACAGGUGCAGGAGUUGUUCCCCACGGCGAGCAGGACCCAGCUCCGUGAUGCCUGCACAGCCAGCUCCUACACCCUCACUCUUCUUCUGCAAGGCUACAAAUUCAACUACACAACAUGGCCUAACAUCCACUUCGUCCGGCAGGUUGCUAACGUAGAUGUGGGCUGGACUCUGGGCUGCAUGCUCAAUCUCACCAACAUAAUCCCCUCGGAGCCUCUCACAGCAGUCACAGAGCUCCCGAGAAACAUCUGGAUAGCAGCCACAGUUCUGCUGGCCAUCAUGCUCAUCCUCACCUUCUGCCUGCUCACAGCCAUGUGCUACCAGACAAACUCCGCAGGCUAUGAGCAGCUGUAGCAGCAUUGCCUCCAGAGGCUGCCGAGGCCACCGAGUCCUGCUACCACACCUUUGCAAGGAGCUGCUUCCCAGGAAUCACCCUUGUGUGCCCAGAGGCCAUGGACUUGCCCUGGGGGGCCCUGAGUCCUGGCCUGGUGAAAAGGAAGAUGAUGAGAUGAGUGGCAAGAUGUGAUGAUGAGAUGGCAUGACAUGCCAUAACACGCUGAUGAGAUGAUGAGAUGGACUCUCUGGAGGGGCAUGGACCAUA